GGGGAGGUCAGUUAGGUCAGACUGAACGAAAGAGCACUCGUAGACAUCCCCAUCUCCAUCCAGUGCCCUAAGAGACGACUCAACAAAUCUGGCUGCCGCAUAGGCCAUCGAUAGAGUCGCAGAUCCAGCACCGGCUUUUGCCUCCACCACCUCUGUACCAGCAUUCUGUAUUCUUACAGUCAGUUCUUCCACUUCAUCAUCAGUGAAAGACACAGACGGCCUAGCCUUCGACAGCAAGGGCAAAAUAGUAAUACCAGCAUGUCCUCCUACAACCGGGACAUCCACAUCAAUGAGCUUGAGG
This 301-nucleotide unclassified non-coding RNA is filed under the name Hevea brasiliensis (rubber tree). Lineage: Eukaryota; Viridiplantae; Streptophyta; Magnoliopsida; Malpighiales; Euphorbiaceae. The record is from RNAcentral.